This 460-nucleotide ribosomal RNA is filed under the name uncultured bacterium. RNAcentral's name for it is "partial 16S ribosomal RNA". It matches the Rfam family "Bacterial small subunit ribosomal RNA", at positions 338 to 795 of the family's 1533-position model. The record is from RNAcentral.
CCUACGGGAGGCAGCAGUGAGGAAUAUUGGUCAAUGGACGAGAGUCUGAACCAGCCAAGUAGCGUGAAGGAUGACUGCCCUAUGGGUUGUAAACUUCUUUUAUAUGGGAAUAAAAUGUUCCACGUGUGGGAUUUUGUAUGUACUAUAUGAAUAAGGAUCGGCUAACUCCGUGCCAGCAGCCGCGGUAAUACGGAGGAUCCGAGCGUUAUCCGGAUUUAUUGGGUUUAAAGGGAGCGUAGGUGGGUUGGUAAGUCAGUUGUGAAAGUUUGCGGCUCAACCGUAAAAUUGCAGUUGAAACUGGCAGUCGUGAGUACAGUAGAGGUAGGCGGAAUUCGUGGUGUAGCGGUGAAAUGCUUAGAUAUCACGAAGAACUCCGAUUGCGAAGGCAGCUCACUAGACUGCAACUGACACUGAGGCUCGAAAGUGUGGGUAUCAAACAGGAUUAGAUACCCGAGUAGUC